CCCUAUGGGGUGCAGCAGGCGAGAAACCUUUGCAAUGUGCGCAAGCACGACAAGGUUAAUCCGAGUGUUUCCUGCUUAAGGAAUCUUUUGUUAGUUGUAAAACCACUGAUGAAUAAGGGGUGGGCAAGUUCUGGUGUCAGCCGCCGCGGUAAAACCAGCACCUCAAGUGGUCAGGAUGAUUAUUGGGCCUAAAGCAUCCGUAGCCUGUUCUAUAAGUUUCCGGUUAAAUCCAUUAGCUCAACUAAUGGGCUGCCGAAAAUACUGUAGAACUAGGGAGUGGGAGAGGUAGACGGUACUCGGUAGGAAGGGGUAAAAUCCUUUGAUCUAUUGAUGACCACCUGUGGCGAAGGCGGUCUACCAGAACACGUUCGACGGUGAGGGAUGAAAGCUGGGGGAGCAAACCGGAUUAGAUACCCGGGUAGUCCCAGCUGUAAACGAUGCAGACUCGGUGAUGCCCUGGCUUGUGGCCAGUGCAGUGCCGCAGGGAAGCCGUUAAGUUUGCCGCCUGGGAAGUACGUACGCAAGUAUGAAACUUAAAGGAAUUGGCGGGGGAGCACCACAAGGGGUGAAGCCUGCGGUUCAAUUGGAGUCAACGCCAGAAAUCUUACCCGAAGAGACAGCAGAAUGAAGGUCAAGCUGGAGACUUUACCAGACAAGCUGAGAAGUGGUGCAUGGCC
Molecule: ribosomal RNA, 677 nt
Filed under: uncultured archaeon
Lineage: Archaea
Description: bacterial SSU rRNA
Rfam family: Archaeal small subunit ribosomal RNA
Source: RNAcentral